UGCAAGUCGAACGGUAACAGGGAGCUUGCUCCGCUGACGAGUGGCGAACGGGUGAGUAAUGUAUCGGAACGUACCUUUCAGUGGGGGAUAACGUAGCGAAAGUUACGCUAAUACCGCAUAUUCUGUGAGCAGGAAAGCAGGGGAUCGCAAGACCUUGCGCUGAUUGAGCGGCCGAUAUCAGAUUAGCUAGUUGGUGAGGUAAAGGCUCACCAAGGCGACGAUCUGUAGCGGGUCUGAGAGGAUGAUCCGCCACACUGGAACUGAGACACGGUCCAGACUCCUACGGGAGGCAGCAGUGGGGAAUUUUGGACAAUGGGGGCAACCCUGAUCCAGCCAUGCCGCGUGAGUGAAGAAGGCCUUCGGGUUGUAAAGCUCUUUCGGCCGGGAAGAAAUCGCAUGGGUUAAUACCCUGUGCCGAUGACGGUACCGGCAUAAGAAGCACCGGCUAACUACGUGCCAGCAGCCGCGGUAAUACGUAGGGUGCGAGCGUUAAUCGGAAUUACUGGGCGUAAAGCGUGCGCAGGCGGUUUUGUAAGACAGGCGUGAAAUCCCCGGGCUCAACCUGGGAACUGCGCUUGUGACUGCAAGGCUAGAGUAUGGCAGAGGGGGGUGGAAUUCCACGUGUAGCAGUGAAAUGCGUAGAGAUGUGGAGGAACACCAAUGGCGAAGGCAGCCCCCUGGGCCAAUACUGACGCUCAUGCACGAAGGCGUGGGUAGCAAACAGGAUUAGAUACCCUGGUAGUCCACGCCCUAAACGAUGUCAACUAGGUGUUGGGUGGGUAAAACCAUUUAGUACCGGAGCUAACGCGUGAAGUUGACCGCCUGGGGAGUACGGCCGCAAGGUUAAAACUCAAAGGAAUUGACGGGGACCCGCACAAGCGGUGGAUGAUGUGGAUUAAUUCGAUGCAACGCGAAAAACCUUACCUACCCUUGACAUGUCCAGGAGCCUGAAGAGAUUUGGGUGUGCCCGAAAGGGAACUGGAACACAGGUGCUGCAUGGCUGUCGUCAGCUCGUGUCGUGAGAUGUUGGGUUAAGUCCCGCAACGAGCGCAACCCUUGUCGUUAAUUGCCAUCAUUUAGUUGGGCACUUUAACGAGACUGCCGGUGACAAACCGGAGGAAGGUGGGGAUGACGUCAAGUCCUCAUGGCCCUUAUGGGUAGGGCUUCACACGUCAUACAAUGGUCGGUACAAAGGGUUGCCAACCCGCGAGGGGGAGCCAAUCCCAGAAAGCCGAUCGUAGUCCGGAUUGCAGGCUGCAACUCGCCUGCAUGAAGUCGGAAUCGCUAGUAAUCGUGGAUCAGCAUGUCACGGUGAAUACGUUCCCGGGUCUUGUACACACCGCCCGUCACACCAUGGGAGCGGGUUCCGCCAGAAGUAGGUAGCCUAA
Molecule: ribosomal RNA, 1388 nt
Filed under: metagenome
Description: bacterial SSU rRNA
Rfam family: Bacterial small subunit ribosomal RNA
Source: RNAcentral